This 808-nucleotide ribosomal RNA is filed under the name Salmonella enterica subsp. enterica serovar Typhimurium. RNAcentral describes it as "partial 23S ribosomal RNA". It matches the Rfam family "Bacterial large subunit ribosomal RNA", at positions 850 to 1572 of the family's 2925-position model. Lineage: Bacteria; Pseudomonadati; Pseudomonadota; Gammaproteobacteria; Enterobacterales; Enterobacteriaceae. The record is from RNAcentral.
UGGUUCUCCCCGAAAGCUAUUUAGGUAGCGCCUCGUGAAUUCAUCUCCGGGGGUAGAGCACUGUUUCGGCUAGGGGGCCAUCCCGGCUUACCAACCCGAUGCAAACUGCGAAUACCGGAGAAUGUUAUCACGGGAGACACACGGCGGGUGCUAACGUCCGUCGUGAAGAGGGAAACAACCCAGACCGCCAGCUAAGGUCCCAAAGUCAUGGUUAAGUGGGAAACGAUGUGGGAAGGCCCAGACAGCCAGGAUGUUGGCUUAGAAGCAGCCAUCAUUUAAAGAAAGCGUAAUAGCUCACUGGUCGAGUCGGCCUGCGCGGAAGAUGUAACGGGGCUAAACCAUGCACCGAAGCUGCGGCAGCGAACGUAUCACCCAAGACAACUUUACGGAGUUGACGAUUGACGGAGCGAAGCGACGUCAAAGCGUUCAUUAAAGUCGAGUUGGCUUAGGGAUACGUUCGUUGGGUAGGGGAGCGUUCUGUAAGCCUGUGAAGGUGUGUCGUGAGGCAUGCUGGAGGUAUCAGAAGUGCGAAUGCUGACAUAAGUAACGAUAAAGCGGGUGAAAAGCCCGCUCGCCGGAAGACCAAGGGUUCCUGUCCAACGUUAAUCGGGGCAGGGUGAGUCGACCCCUAAGGCGAGGCCGAAAGGCGUAGUCGAUGGGAAACGGGUUAAUAUUCCCGUACUUGGUGUUACUGCGAAGGGGGGACGGAGAAGGCUAUGUUGGCCGGGCGACGGUUGUCCCGGUUUAAGCGUGUAGGUGUGUGUUCCAGGUAAAUCCGGUUCACUUUAACACUGAGGCGUGACGACGA